AAACAAAUUCUUGUGAGCCAUAUUUACUAUGAACAAACCAUUUAUGAGUGUGUAUACAAAUGCUUCAUUUAUGAGAAUUAACAUAGGAGCAAUGCUUUA
Long non-coding RNA from Sander lucioperca (pikeperch), 99 nucleotides. RefSeq lists it as uncharacterized. The transcript has 3 exons. NCBI's taxonomy places the organism in Eukaryota, Metazoa, Chordata, Actinopteri, Perciformes, Percidae. The record is from RefSeq and is a predicted model, not a curated record.